GGAGUUAUAACAGGGAGAAGAUGUGGCAGACAUCCAUUUCAUGGUUCUCCGUUUCACCCAUAAUAUGUGAUUAUUAUUAUUUUUUUCUUUCUUCGUGACAGAUUGAAUGCAUGUAUUAACACAAGACACCUUUUAUGCAACAAGGGUCUAGCUCUGGUCCAGGGCUUUGUGAUGCUGAGAUAUACAUUAACCUCCUGGACCGGAGCGAAGAGGAAACUAUCCUCUGUACUAUUAGAAGUAGGUCAUCAUCACUGAACUCGCCAUCACUCUUGACGCUGAGACACAAGCGUCCAAAUGGUGUAUGUAUAUUGUACCCGUAUUCAAUAGGACUUCCAUAGUCUCAACAGAUACUAGUAUCGCUGUCGACCGUCCAGACUUAGGAGCUGGUGUAGCCUUGGAAACCCGUAAGGGAUUAGUCCAUGUAAAGACUUCACACAAUGGAACUGCCUCACAACUGUGAACAGAGAACUGCUUCUCUAAUUGUUCCAACAUUGUCUUGGGAGGUUUUUUUUCCGACGGUGAGUAGCGUAGGAAGGAUGUUGCUAGUUUGGAGUUUCUUGAUUGCCAGAUUGGAGACGGUUGGAUCCUUCUCGUGUGAACAGACUGCGCCAACACGGAGGAAGCAGGCAGGGAUAACAUUUUGUUCAGUUACUGUGAUGGAUGUAUCGAUACAUAUGUAGACAUUCAUUUAAUAUGUUAUCUAUGUUAUAUGAAAAUAAAUGUUUGAUGCAUUUGUCAAAUUUUUAACGUUUUUUUUUUGUCACGUGCGCUAGUAUAGUGUAAUGCCUUUCUUGAAUGCUCUUUCUCAAUAACAAAGUCAAGUAGAACAACACAAGAAAUUGAAUUCAGAAGAACACGAGAAUGUAGGUAAGCUAUAUACAGGGUAAUUUCCAGUACCAUAUUAACAAUGCGCAGGGAUACUGUAGUGAUGGAGGUAGAUAUGUAUAGGGGGAAGGGAUUAGGGAUACUGUAGUGAUGGAGGUAGAUAUGUAUAGGGGGAAGGGGACAGGGAUACUGGAGUGAUGGAGGUAGAUAUGUAUAGGGGACAGGGAUACUGGAGUGAUGGAGGUAGAUAUGUAUAGGGGACAGGGAUACUGGAGUGAUGGA
This 1107-nucleotide long non-coding RNA is filed under the name Salmo salar (Atlantic salmon). RNAcentral describes it as "lncRNA (ENSSSAG00000111834.1)". Lineage: Eukaryota; Metazoa; Chordata; Actinopteri; Salmoniformes; Salmonidae. The record is from RNAcentral.